This 253-nucleotide ribosomal RNA is filed under the name uncultured bacterium. RNAcentral describes it as "partial 16S ribosomal RNA". It matches the Rfam family "Bacterial small subunit ribosomal RNA", at positions 524 to 776 of the family's 1533-position model. The record is from RNAcentral.
UACGAAGGGUGCUAGCGUUGUUCGGAAUUACAGGGCGUAAAGGGCGCGUAGGCGGUGUGUCAAGUCAGGCGUGAAAGCCCCGGGCUCAACCUGGGAACAGCGCUUGAGACUGGCACGCUCGAGUUCGGGAGAGGAUGGUGGAAUUCCCAGUGUAGAGGUGAAAUUCGUAGAUAUCAGGAGGAACACCGGUGGCGAAAGCGGCUCCCUGGCCCGAUACUGACGCUCAUGUACGAAAGCGUGGGGAGCAAACAGG